This 87-nucleotide transfer RNA is filed under the name Arsenophonus endosymbiont of Aleurodicus floccissimus. Its description in RNAcentral is "tRNA-Leu". It matches the Rfam family "tRNA". From Rfam's summary of the family: Transfer RNA (tRNA) molecules are approximately 80 nucleotides in length. The record is from RNAcentral. Lineage: Bacteria; Pseudomonadati; Pseudomonadota; Gammaproteobacteria; Enterobacterales; Morganellaceae.
GCCCAGGUGGUGAAAUAGGUAGACACAAGGGAUUUAAAAUCCCUCGGCUUUAAGGCUGUGCGGGUUCAAUCCCCGCCCUGGGCACCA